This is a long non-coding RNA of Hemibagrus wyckioides, 11607 nucleotides long. RefSeq lists it as uncharacterized. NCBI's taxonomy places the organism in Eukaryota, Metazoa, Chordata, Actinopteri, Siluriformes, Bagridae. The transcript has 4 exons. The record is from RefSeq and is a predicted model, not a curated record.
GGGUGAGUGUGUGUGAGUGUGUGUGUGUGUGUGUGUGUGUGUGUGUGUGUGUGUGUGAGAAAGAGAGUGAAAGAGCACAUGUGAACAGUGCACUGUCUGGGCUUAUCGUUGUCAUGGUAACAGCCUGCCAAAUUUGCAGAUUUGCACAGUAUGAAACUUUAGGUUUUAUUUGUGAACUUUAGGAUUAUUGUGUAGAGUUACCUUUAUUUUAGGGUCUAGGGAUUAGGGUGCAGUGUGCAGAUAGUAGAGUAUAAGGUGUAGGGUUUAGAGUGUAGGGUUUAGGGUGUAGGGUUUAGGUGUUAGGGUUUAGAGUGUAGGGUUUAGGUGUUAGGGUUUAGAGUGUAGGGUUUAGGUGUUAGGGUUUAGGGUUUAGGUGUUAGGGUGUAGGAUUUAGGUGUUAGGGUUUAGGGUGUAGUGUUUAGGUGUUAGGGUUUAGAAUGUAGGCUUUAGGUGUUAGGGUUUAGAGUGUAGGGUUUAGGUGUUAGGGUUUAGGUGUUAGGGUGUAGGAUUUAGGCGUUAGGGUUUAGGGUGUAGGAUUUAGGUCUUAGGGUUUAGGUGUUAGGGUUUAGAGUGUAGGGUUUAGGUGUUAGGGUUUAGAGUGUAGGGUUUAGGUGUUAGGGUUUAGGUGUUAGGGUUUAGAGUGUAGGGUUUAGGUGUUAGGGUUUAGAGUGUAGGGUUUAGGUGUUAGGGUUUAGAAUGUAGGGUUUAGGUGUUAGGGUUUAGAGUGUAGGGUUUAGGUGUUAGGCUUUAGGGUUUAGGUGUCAGGGUUUAGGUGUUAGGGUUUAGGGUGUAGGGUUUAGGUGUUAGGGUUUAGGGUUUAGGUGUCAGGGUUUAGGUGUUAGGGUUUAGGGUGUAGGGUUUAGGUGUUAGGGUUUAGGGUGUAGUGUUUAGGUGUUAGGGCUUAGAGUGUAGGGUUUAGGUGUUAGGCUUUAGAGUGUAGGGUUUAGGUGUUAGGGUUUAGAGUGUAGGGUUUAGGUGUUAGGCUUUAGAGUGUAGGGUUUAGGUGUUAGGGUUUAGAGUGUAGGGUUUAGGUGUUAGGCUUUAGAGUGUAGGGUUUAGGUGUUAGGGUUUAGAGUGUAGGGUUUAGGUGUUAGGCUUUAGAGUGUAGGGUUUAGGUGUUAGGGUUUAGAGUGUAGGGUUUAGGUGUUAGGGUUUAGAGUGUAGGGUUUAGGUGUUAGGGUUUAGAGUGUAGGGUUUAGAGUGUAGGGUUUAGAGUGUAGGGUUUAGGUGUUAGGGUUUAGAGUGUAGGGUUUAGCUGUUAGGGUUUAGGUGUUAGGGUUUAGGUGUUAGGGUUUAGAGUGUAGGGUUUAGGUGUAGGGUUUAGGUGUUAGGGUUUAUGUGUUAGGGUUUAUAGUGAAGGGUUUAGGGUUUAGAUUGUACGGUUUAGCUGUUAGGGUGCAGGGUGUAGGGUUUAGGUGUUAGGGUUUAGCUGUUAGGGUUUAGGGUGUAGUGUUUAGGUCUUAGGGUUUAGAGUGUAGGGUUUAGCUGUUAGGGUGCAGGGUGUAGGGUUUAGGUGUUAGGGUUUAGCUGUUAGGGUUUAGGGUGUAGGGUUUAGGUCUUAGGGUUUACAGUGUAGGGUUUAGGUGUUAGGGUUUAGAGUGUAGGGUUUAGGUGUUAGGGUAUAGAGUGUAGGGUUAGGUGUUAGUGUUUAGGGUGUAGGGUUUAGGUGUUAGGGUUUAGAGUGUAGGGUUUGGGGUGUGGGGUUUAGGUGUUAGUGUUUAGGGUUUGGUGUUAGGGUUUAGAGUGUAGGGUUUAUGGUGUAGUGUUUAGGUGUUAGGGUUUAGGGUGUCAUUUUAGGUUUUAGGGUUUAGGGUGUAGGGUUUAGGUGUUAGGGUUUAGGGUGUAGGGUUUAGGUGUUAGGGUUUAGAGUGUAGUGUUUAGGUGUUAGGGUUUAGGGUAUCAUUUUUAGGUUUUAGGGUUUAGGGUGUAGGGUUUAGGUGUUAGGGUUUAGAGUGUAGGGUUUAGGUGUUAGGGUUUAGGUGUUAGGGUGUAGGAUUUAGGUGUUAGGGUUUAGGGUGUAGUGUUUAGGUCUUAGGGUUUAGGUGUUAGGGUUUAGAGUGUAGGGUUUAGCUGUUAGGGUUUAGGUGUUAGAGUUUAGAGUGUAGGGUUUAGGUGUUAGGGUUUAGGUGUUAGGAUUUAGAGUGUAGGGUUUAGGUGUUAGGGUUUAGGGUUUAGGUGUUAGGGUUUAGGGUGUAGAGUUUAGGUGUUAGGGUUUAGAGUGUAGGGUUUAGAUGUUAGGGUUUAGAGUAUAGGCUUUAGGUGUUAGGGUUUAGAGUGUAGGGUUUAGGUGUUAGGGUUUAGGGUGUAGGGUUUAGGUGUUAGGGUUUAGAGUGUAGGGUUUAGGUGUUAGGGUUUGGGGUGUAGGGUUUAGGUGUUAGUGUUUAGGUGAAUGGGUUUAGGAUGUAGGGUUUAGGGUUUAGGGUGUAGUGUUUAGGUGUUGGGGUUUAGGUGAAUGGGUUUAGGGUGCAGGGUUUAGGUGUUAGGGUUUAGAGUGUAGGGUUUAGAGUGCAUAGGGUUGGGUUUAUGGUCUAGGGUUUAGGAUGUAGGGUUUAGGGUUUAUGGUGUAGUGAUUAGAUGUUAGGGUUUAGGGUGUAGGGUUUAGGUGUUAGGGUUUAGAGUGUAGGGUUUAGGUGUUAGGGUUUAGAGUGUAGGGUUUAGGUGUUAGGGUUUAGGUGUUAGGGUUUAGAGUGUAGGGUUUAGGUGUUAGGGUUUAUAGUGUAGUGUUUAGGUGCUAGGGUUUAGAGUGCAUUGGGUAGGGAUUAAGGUGGAGGAUUAGGAUGUAGGGUUUAGAGUGUAGGGUUUAGUGUUUAGGUGUUAGGGUUUAGAGUGUAGGGUUUAGGUGUUAGGGUUUAGGGUGUAGGGUUUAGGUGUUAGGGUUUAUAGUGUAGGGUUUGGGGUGUAGUGUUUAGGUUUAGGGUGUCAUUUUUAGGUUUUAGGGUUUAGAGUGUAGGGUUUAGGUGUUAGGGUUUAGAGUGUAGGAUUUAAGUGUUAGGGGUUAGGGUUUAGGAUGUAGUGUUUAGCUGUUAGGGUUUAGGGUGUAGGGUUUAGGUGUUAGGGUUUAGGGUGUAGUGUUUAGGUGCUAGGGUUUAGAGUGCAUUGGGUAGGGAUUAGGGUGGAGGAUUAGGGUGUAGAGUUUAUAGUGUAGGGUUUAGGGUGUAAGGUUUAGGUGUUAGGGUUAAGAGUGUAGGGUUUAGGUGUUAGGGUGUAGGGUUAUGGUGUCGGCUUUAGGUGUUAGGGCUUAGAGUGCAUAGGGUUUAGGGUGUAGGGUUUAGGUGUUAGGAUUUAGAGUGUAGGGUUUAGGUGUUAGGGUUUAUAGUGUAGUGUUUAGGUGCUAGGGUUUAGAGUGCAUUGGGUAGGGAUUAAGGUGGAGGAUUAGGAUGUAGGGUUUAGAGUGUAGGGUUUAGAGUGCAUAGAGUAGGGUUUAGAUGUUAGGGUGUAGGGUUUAGGUGUUAGGGUUUAGAGUGUAGGGUUUAGGGUGUAUGGUUUAGGUGUUAGGGUGUAGGGUUUAGAGUGCAUAGAGUAGAGUUUAGGGUGUAGGGUUUAGGUCUUAGGGUUUACAGUGUAGGGUUUAGGUGUUAGGGUUUAGAGUGUAGGGUUUAGGUGUUAGGGUAUAGAGUGUAGGGUUAGGUGUUAGUGUUUAGGGUGUAGGGUUUAGGUGUUAGGGUUUAUAGUGUAGGUUUUAGGGUGUAGGGUUUAGGUGUUAGGGUUUACAGUGUAGGAUUUAGGUGUUAGGGUUUAAGUGUUAGGGUUUAGAGUGUAGGGUUUGGGGUGUGGGGUUUAGGUGUUAGUGUUUAGGGUUUAGGUGUUAGGGUUUAGAGUGUAGGGUUUAGGUGUUAGGGUGUAGGGUUAUGGUGUCGGCUUUAGGUGUUAGGGCUUAGAGUGCAUAGGGUUUAGGUGUUAGUGUUUAUGGUGUAGGGUUUAGGUGUUAGGGUUUAGAGUGUAGGGUUUAGGUGUUAGUGUUUAUGGUGUAGGGUUUAGGUGUUAGGGUUUAGAGUGUAGGGUUUACAGUGUAGGGUUUAGGUGUUAGGGUUUAGAGUGUAGGGUUUAGGUGUUAGGGUUUAGAGUGUAGGGUUUAGGUGUUAGGGUUUAGGGUUUAGGUGUUAGGGUGUAGGAUUUAGGUGUUAGGGUUUAGGGUGUAGUGUUUAGGUGUUAGGGUUUAGAAUGUAGGCUUUAGGUGUUAGGGUUUAGAGUGUAGGGUUUAGGUGUUAGGGUUUAGGUGUUAGGGUGUAGGAUUUAGGCGUUAGGGUUUAGGGUGUAGGAUUUAGGUCUUAGGGUUUAGGUGUUAGGGUUUAGAGUGUAGGGUUUAGGUGUUAGGGUUUAGAGUGUAGGGUUUAGGUGUUAGGGUUUAGGUGUUAGGGUUUAGAGUGUAGGGUUUAGGUGUUAGGGUUUAGAGUGUAGGGUUUAGGUGUUAGGGUUUAGAAUGUAGGGUUUAGGUGUUAGGGUUUAGAGUGUAGGGUUUAGGUGUUAGGGUUUAGGGUUUAGGUGUCAGGGUUUAGGUGUUAGGGUUUAGGGUGUAGGGUUUAGGUGUUAGGGUUUAGGGUUUAGGGUUUAGGUGUCAGGGUUUAGGUGUUAGGGUUUAGGGUGUAGGGUUUAGGUGUUAGGGUUUAGGGUGUAGUGUUUAGGUGUUAGGGCUUAGAGUGUAGGGUUUAGGUGUUAGGCUUUAGAGUGUAGGGUUUAGGUGUUAGGGUUUAGAGUGUAGGGUUUAGGUGUUAGGCUUUAGAGUGUAGGGUUUAGGUGUUAGGGUUUAGAGUGUAGGGUUUAGGUGUUAGGCUUUAGAGUGUAGGGUUUAGGUGUUAGGGUUUAGAGUGUAGGGUUUAGGUGUUAGGCUUUAGAGUGUAGGGUUUAGGUGUUAGGGUUUAGAGUGUAGGGUUUAGGUGUUAGGGUUUAGAGUGUAGGGUUUAGGUGUUAGGGUUUAGAGUGUAGGGUUUAGAGUGUAGGGUUUAGAGUGUAGGGUUUAGGUGUUAGGGUUUAGAGUGUAGGGUUUAGCUGUUAGGGUUUAGGUGUUAGGGUUUAGGUGUUAGGGUUUAGAGUGUAGGGUUUAGGUGUAGGGUUUAGGUGUUAGGGUUUAUGUGUUAGGGUUUAUAGUGAAGGGUUUAGGGUUUAGAUUGUACGGUUUAGCUGUUAGGGUGCAGGGUGUAGGGUUUAGGUGUUAGGGUUUAGGGUGUAGUGUUUAGGUCUUAGGGUUUAGAGUGUAGGGUUUAGCUGUUAGGGUGCAGGGUGUAGGGUUUAGGUGUUAGGGUUUAGCUGUUAGGGUUUAGGGUGUAGGGUUUAGGUCUUAGGGUUUACAGUGUAGGGUUUAGGUGUUAGGGUUUAGAGUGUAGGGUUUAGGUGUUAGGGUAUAGAGUGUAGGGUUAGGUGUUAGUGUUUAGGGUGUAGGGUUUAGGUGUUAGGGUUUAGAGUGUAGGGUUUGGGGUGUGGGGUUUAGGUGUUAGUGUUUAGGGUUUGGUGUUAGGGUUUAGAGUGUAGGGUUUAUGGUGUAGUGUUUAGGUGUUAGGGUUUAGGGUGUCAUUUUAGGUUUUAGGGUUUAGGGUGUAGGGUUUAGGUGUUAGGGUUUAGGGUGUAGGGUUUAGGUGUUAGGGUUUAGAGUGUAGUGUUUAGGUGUUAGGGUUUAGGGUAUCAUUUUUAGGUUUUAGGGUUUAGGGUGUAGGGUUUAGGUGUUAGGGUUUAGAGUGUAGGGUUUAGGUGUUAGGGUUUAGGUGUUAGGGUGUAGGAUUUAGGCGUUAGGGUUUAGGGUGUAGUGUUUAGGUCUUAUGGUUUAGGUGUUAGGGUUUAGAGUGUAGGGUUUAGCUGUUAGGGUUUAGGUGUUAGAGUUUAGAGUGUAGGGUUUAGGUGUUAGGGUUUAGGUGUUAGGGUUUAGAGUGUAGGGUUUAGGUGUUAGGGUUUAGGGUUUAGGUGUUAGGGUUUAGGGUGUAGAGUUUAGGUGUUAGGGUUUAGAGUGUAGGGUUUAGAUGUUAGGGUUUAGAGUAUAGGCUUUAGGUGUUAGGGUUUAGAGUGUAGGGUUUAGGUGUUAGGGUUUAGGGUGUAGGGUUUAGGUGUUAGGGUUUAGAGUGUAGGGUUUAGGUGUUAGGGUUUGGGGUGUAGGGUUUAGGUGUUAGUGUUUAGGUGAAUGGGUUUAGGAUGUAGGGUUUAGGGUUUAGGGUGUAGUGUUUAGGUGUUGGGGUUUAGGUGAAUGGGUUUAGGGUGCAGGGUUUAGGUGUUAGGGUUUAGAGUGUAGGGUUUAGAGUGCAUCGGGUUGGGUUUAUGGUCUAGGGUUUAGGAUGUAGGGUUUAGGGUUUAUGGUGUAGUGAUUAGAUGUUAGGGUUUAGGGUGUAGGGUUUAGGUGUUAGGGUUUAGAGUGUAGGGUUUAGGUGUUAGGGUUUAGAGUGUAGGGUUUAGGUGUUAGGGUUUAGGUGUUAGGGUGUAGGAUUUAGGCGUUAGGGUUUAGGGUGUAGUGUUUAGGUCUUAGGGUUUAGGUGUUAGGGUUUAGAGUGUAGGGUUUAGGGUGUAGGAUUUAGGGUGUAGGCUUUAGGUGUUAGGGUUUAGAGUGUAGGGUUUAGGUGUUAGGGUGCAGGGUGUAGGGUUUAGGUGUUAGGGUUUAGCUGUUAGGGUUUAGGGUGUAGUGUUUAGGUCUUAGGGUUUAGAGUGUAGGGUUUAGGUGUUAGAGUUUAGAGUGUAGGGCUUAGGUGUUAGGGUUUAGGGUGUAGGGUUUAGUUGUUAGGGUUUAGAGUGUAGGCUUUAGGUGUUAGGGUUUAGAGUGUAGGGUUUAGGUGUUAGGGUUUAGGUGUUAGGGUUUAGGUGUUAGGGUGUAGGAUUUAGGCGUUAGGGUUUAGGGUGUAGUGUUUAGGUCUUAGGGUUUAGGUGUUAGGGUUUAGGUGUUAGAGUUUAGAGUGUAGGGUUUAGGUGUUAGGGUUUAGGUGUUAGGGUUUAGAGUGUAGGGUUUAGGUGUUAGGGUUUAGAGUGUAGGGUUUAGGUGUUAGGGUUUAGGGUUUAGGUGUUAGGGUGUAGGAUUUAGGUGUUAGGGUUUAGGGUGUAGUGUUUAGGUCUUAGGGUUUAGAGUGUAGGGCUUAGGUGUUAGGGUUUAGGGUGUAGGGUUUAGGUGUUAGGGUUUAGGGUGUAGGGCUUAGGUGUUAGGGUUUAGGGUGUAGGAUUUAGGUGUUAGGGUUUAGGGUGUAGGGUUUACACCCUAUUAGGAUACACCCUAUUAGGAUACACCCUAUUUAAACCCUGUUAGGGUUUAGAGUGUAGGGUUUAGAUGUUAGGGUUUGGGGUGUAGAGUUUAUGUGUUAGUGUUUAGGUGAAUGGGUUUAGGAUGUAGGGUUUUUGGUGUUAGGGUUUAGGGUGUAGUGUUUAGGUGUUGGGGUUUAGGUGAAUGGGUUAGGGUUAGGGUUUAGCUGUUAGGGUUUAGGGUGUAGUGUUUAGGUCUUAGGGUUUAGAGUGUAGGGUUUAGGUGUUAGGGUUUAGAGUGUAGGCUUUAGGUGUUAGGGUUUAGGUGUUAGGGUUUAGAGUGUAGGGUUUAGGUGUUAGGGUUUAGGGUGUAGUGUUUAGGUCUUAGGGUUUAGGUGUUAGGGUUUAGGUGUUAGAGUUUAGAGUGUAGGGUUUAGGUGUUAGGGUUUAGGUGUUAGGGUUUAGAGUGUAGGGUUUAGGUGUUAGGGUUUAGGGUGUAGUGUUUAGGUGUUAGGGUUUAGAGUGUAGGGUUUAGGUGUUAGGGUUUAGAGUGUAGGGUUUAGGUGUUAGGGUUUAGGGUUUAGGUGUUAGGGUGUAGGAUUUAGGUGUUAGGGUUUAGGGUGUAGUGUUUAGGUCUUACGGUUUAGAGUGUAGGGCUUAGGUGUUAGGGUUUAGGGUGUAGGGUUUAGGUGUUAGGGUUUAGGGUGUAGUGUUUAGGUCUUACGGUUUAGAGUGUAGGGCUUAGGUGUUAGGGUUUAGAGUGUAGGGUUUAGGUGUUAGGGUUUAGGGUGUAGGGUUUACACCCUAUUAGGAUACACCCUAUUAGGAUACACCCUAUUUAAACCCUGUUAGGGUUUACAGUGUAGGGUUUAGAUGUUAGGGUUUGGGGUGUAGGGUUUAGGUGUUAGUGUUUAGGUGAAUGGGUUUAGGAUGUAGGGUUUAGGUGUUAGGGUUUAGGGUGUAGUGUUUAGGUGUUGGGGUUUAGGUGAAUGGGUUUAGGGUGCAGGGUUUAGGUGUUAGGGUUUAGAGUGUAGGGUUUAGAGUGCAUAGGGUUGGGUUUAUGGUCUAGGGUUUAGGGUUUAUGGAGUAGUGAUUAGGUCUUAGGGUUUAGAGUGUAGGGUUUAGGUGUUAGGGUUUAAGGUUUAGGGUGUAGGGUUUAGGUGUUAGGGUUUAGAGUGUAGGGUUUAGGUGUUAGGGUUUAGAGUGUAGGGAUUAGGUGUUAGGGUUUAGGGUUUAGGUGUUAGGGUGUAGGAUUUAGGCGUUAGGGUUUAUUGUGUAGGAUUUAGGUCUUAGGGUUUAGAGUGUAGGGUUUAGGUGUUAGGGUUUAGGUGUUAGGGUUUAGAGUGUAGGGUUUAGGUGUUAGGGUUUAGGUGUUAGGGUUUAGAGUGUAGGGUUUAGGUGUUAGGGUUUAUAGUGUAGUGUUUAGGUGCUAGGGUUUAGAGUGCAUUGGGUAGGGAUUAAGGUGGAGGAUUAGGAUGUAGGGUUUAGAGUGUAGGGUUUAGGUGUUAGGGUUUAGGUGUUAGGGUUUAGAGUGUAGGGUUUAGGUGUUAGGGUUUAGAGUGUAGGGUUUAGGUGUUAGGGUUUAGAGUGUAGGGUUUAGGUGUUAGGGUUUAGAGUGUAGGGUUUAGGUGUUAGGGUUUAGAGUGUAGUGUUUAGGUCUUAGGGUUUAGAGUGUAGGGUUUAGGUGUUAGGGUUUAGAGUGUAGGCUUUAGGUGUUAGGGUUUAGGUGUUAGAGUUUAGAGUGUAGGGCUUAGGUGUUAGGGUUUAGGGUGUAGGGUUUAGGUGUUAGGGUUUAGAGUGUAGGGUUUAGGUGUUAGGGUUUAGAGUGUAGGCUUUAGGUGUUAGGGUUUAGGUGUUAGAGUUUAGAGUGUAGGGCUUAGGUGUUAGGGUUUAGAGUAUAGGGUUUAGGUGUUACGGUUUAGGUGUUAGGGUGUAGGAUUUAGGCGUUAGGGUUUAGGGUGUAGUGUUUAGGUCUUAGGGUUUAGGUGUUAGGGUUUAGGUGUUAGGGUUUAGGGUGUAGUGUUUAGGUGUUACGGUUUAGGUGUUAGGGUGUAGGAUUUAGGCGUUAGGGUUUAGGGUGUAGUGUUUAGGUCUUAGGGUUUAGAGUGUAGGCUUUAGGUGUUAGGGUUUAGAGUAUAGGGUUUAGGUGUUACGGUUUAGGUGUUAGGGUGUAGGAUUUAGGCGUUAGGGUUUAGGGUGUAGUGUUUAGGUCUUAGGGUUUAGGUGUUAGGGUUUAGGUGUUAGGGUUUAGGGUGUAGUGUUUAGGUGUUAGGGCUUAGAGUGUAGGGUUUAGGUGUUAGGGUUUAGAGUGUAGGGUUUAGGUGUUAGGGUUUAGGUGUUAGGUGUUAGGGUUUAGAGUGUAGGGUUUAGGUUUUAGGGUUUAGGGUUUAGGUGUUAGGGUGUAGGAUUUAGGUGUUAGGGUUUAGGGUGUAGUGUUUAGGUCUCACGGUUUAGAGUGUAGGGCUUAGGUGUUAGGGUUUAGGGUGUAGGGUUUAGGUGUUAGGGUUUAGGGUGUAGGGCUUAGGUGUUAGGGUUUAGGGUGUAGGGUUUAGGUGUUAGGGUUUAGGGUGUAGGGUUUACACCCUAUUAGGAUACACCCUAUUAGGAUACACCCUAUUUAAACCCUGUUAGGGUUUACAGUGUAGGGUUUAGAUGUUAGGGUUUGGGGUGUAGGGUUUAGGUGUUAGUGUUUAGGUGAAUCGGUUUAGGAUGUAGGGUUUAGGUGAAUGGGUUUAGGGUGCAGGGUUUAGGUGUUAGGGUUUAGAGUGUAGGGUUUAGAGUGCAUAUGGUCAGGUUUAUGGUCUAGGGUUUAGGAUGUAGGGUUUAGGGUUUAUGGUGUAGUGAUUAGGUCUUAGGGUUUAGAGUGUAGGGUUUAGGUGUUAGGGUUUAGGGUGUAGGGUUUAGGUGUUAGGGUUUAGAGUGUAGGGUUUAGGUGUUAGGGUUUAGGGUUUAGGUGUUAGGGUGUAGGAUUUAGGCGUUAGGGUUUAGGGUGUAGGAUUUAGGUGUUAGGGUUUAGAGUGUAGGGUUUAGGUGUUAGGGUUUAGAGUGUAGGGUUUAGGUGUUAGGGUUUAGAGUGUAGAGUUUAGGUAUUAGGCUUAAGAGUGUAGGGUUUAGGUGUUAGGGUGUAGUGUUUAGGUCUUAGGGUUUAGGGUGUAGUGUUUAGGUGUUAGGGUUUAGAGUGUAGGGUUUAGGUGUUAGGGUUUAGGGUUUAGGUGCUAGGGUUUAGGUGUUAGGGUUUAGGGUGUAGGGUUUAGGUGUUAGGGUUUAGGGUGUAGUGUUUAGGUGUUAGGGCUUAGAGUGUAGGGUUUAGGUGUUAGGGUUUAGAGUGUAGGGUUUAGGGUGUAGGAUUUAGGCGUUAGGGUUUAGGGUGUAGUGUUUAGGUCUUAGGGUUUAGGUGUUAGGGUUUAGGUGUUAGGGUUUAGGUGUUAGGGUUUAGGGUGUAGGAUUUAGGCGUUAGGGUUUAGGGUGUAGUGUUUAGGUCUUAGGGUUUAGGUGUUAGGGUUUAGGUGUUAGAGUUUAGAGUGUAGGGUUUAGGUGUUAGGGUUUAGAGUGUAGGGUUUAGGUGUUAGGGUUUAGGGUGUAGUGUUUAGGUGUUAGGGUUUAAAGUGUAUGGUUUAGGUGUUAGGGUUUAGAGUGUAGGGUUUAGGUUUUAGGGUUUAGGUGUUAGGGUGUAGGAUUUAGGUGUUAGGGUUUAGGGUGUAGUGUUUAGGUCUCACGGUUUAGAGUGUAGGGCUUAGGUGUUAGGGUUUAGGGUGUAGGGUUUAGGUGUUAGGGUUUAGGGUUUAGGGUGUAGGGCUUAGGUGUUAGGGUUUAGGGUGUAGGGUUUAGGUGUUAGGGUUUAGGGUGUAGGGUUUACACCCUAUUAGGAUACACCCUAUUAGGAUACACCCUAUUUAAACCCUGUUAGGGUUUACAGUGUAGGGUUUAGAUGUUAGGGUUUGGGGUGUAGGGUUUAGGUGUUAGUGUUUAGGUGAAUCGGUUUAGGAUGUAGGGUUUAGGUGUUAGGGUUUAGGGUGUAGUGUUUAGGUGUUGGGGUUUAGGUGAAUGGGUUUAGGGUGCAGGGUUUAGGUGUUAGGGUUUAGAGUGUAGGGUUUAGAGUGCAUAGGGACGGGUUUAUGGUCUAGGGUUUAGGAUGUAGGGUUUAGGGUUCAUGGUGUAUUGAUUAGGUCUUAGGGUUUAGAGUGUAGGGUUUAGGUGUUAGGGUUUAGGGUGUAGGGUUUAGGUGUUAGGGUUUAGAGUGUAGGGUUUAGGUGUUAGGGUUUAGGGUUUAGGUGUUAGGGUGUAGGAUUUAGGCGUUAGGGUUUAGGGUGUAGGAUUUAGGUCUUAUGGUUUAGAGUGUAGGGUUUAGGUGUUAGGGUUUAGAGUGUAGGGUUUAGGUGUUAGGGUUUAGAGUGUAGGGUUUAGGUGUUAGGGUUUAGAGUGUAGAGUUUAGGUGUUAGGGUUUAGAGUGUAGGGUUUAGGGUU